UGCUCUAAGGAGGUUAGCCUCGGACCCCUUUAGUAUCUCUUGGGUAACCUGCCCAUAAGACUGGUAAACUCCGGGAAACCGGUACUAAUACCGGAUAACAUUUUGAACCGCAUGGUUCGAAAUUGAAAGGCGGCUUCGGCUGUCACUUAUGGAUGGACCCGCGUCGCAUUAGCUAGUUGGUGAGGUAACGGCUCACCAAGGCAACGAUGCGUAGCCCACCUGAGAGGGUGAUCGGCCACACUGGGACUGAGACACGGCCCAGACUCCUACGGGAGGCAGCAGUAGGGAAUCUUCCGCAAUGGACGAAAGUCUGACGGAGCAACGCCGCGUGAGUGAUGAAGGCUUUCGGGUCGUAAAACUCUGUUGUUAGGGAAGAACAAGUGCUAGUUGUAUUAGCUGGCACCUUGACGGAACCUAACCAGAAAGCCACGGCUAACUACGUGCCAGCAGCCGCGGUAAUACGUAGGUGGCAAGCGUUAUCCAGAAUUAUUGCGCGUAAAGCGCGCGCAGCCGGUUUCUUAAGUCUGAUGUGAAAGCCCACGGCUCAACCGCGGAGGGGCAUUGGAAACUGGGAGACUUGAGUGCAGAAGAGGAGAGUGCCACUCCAUGUGUAGCGGUGAAAUGUGUAGAGAUAUGAAGGAACGCCAUGACGAAGGGUACUUUCUGGUCUGUUAACUGACACUGAGGCGCG
RNAcentral lists this ribosomal RNA (691 nucleotides) under Bacillus sp. (in: firmicutes). RNAcentral's name for it is "bacterial SSU rRNA". It matches the Rfam family "Bacterial small subunit ribosomal RNA", at positions 72 to 755 of the family's 1533-position model. The record is from RNAcentral. Lineage: Bacteria; Bacillati; Bacillota; Bacilli; Caryophanales; Bacillaceae.